RNAcentral lists this ribosomal RNA (469 nucleotides) under Pleotrichophorus blackmani. Its description in RNAcentral is "Pleotrichophorus sp. 1 MRM-2021c partial large subunit ribosomal RNA". Lineage: Eukaryota; Metazoa; Arthropoda; Insecta; Hemiptera; Aphididae. The record is from RNAcentral.
UAUUAAGUUUAAUUUAAUAUAGGAUCUGCUCAAUGAUUUAUUAAAUAGCUGCAGUAUUUUGACUGUGCAAAGGUAGCAUAAUAAUUAGUCUUUUAAUUGAGGACUUGAAUGAAAGAUUUGAUGAGAAAUAAACUUUAUUAUUUAUAUAAUUAAAAUUUUAUUUUUAAGUAAAAAAGCUUAAAUUAUUUAAAGGGACGAUAAGACCCUAUAAAACUUUAUAGAUAUUAAUUUUAGUUUUUUUGGUUAUAUAAAUAUAUUAAUUUUAUUAUUUAUUUUAUUGGGGUGAUAAAAAAAAUUAUAAAACUUUUUUUAAAAUUUAACAUUAGUUAAUGAAUUUUUGAAUUAAAAUUUUUAAUUAAAGGAAAAAGUUACUUUAGGGAUAACAGCGUAAUUAAUUUUUUAAGUUCAAAUUUGAAAAUUAGUUUGCGACCUCGAUGUUGAAUUAAGAUUAAUCUUAGGUGCAAAAUUU